AGAGCGACCAUGGCUGGUUAGAGAAUCCUGGGCCUCGUGGCAGGGAGAAGGGUUAGAAGAUUAGCUGAGCUGAAGCUUUUGGCAGGAAUGGUUUUCCAGAGGGGAAGAGAGAGGGCGCAGUGAGGAAGGCUGGGAGGCCCUGCAGGCGUGUUCAGAGCUGCUGGAGACACCGAAAGAGCCCAAAGGCAGAGUAGCUGGGCAUCCUUGUUGGAUACGGCAGAUAGGUGCUGGAGGGUGGCUGGCUUGGGCCAGGGCAGGGUUCAGCCCAGACUGCGGUUUAGCCACAUUGUAAAUCACCUUGUGAGGGCAAAAUGCAAAGAGGUGACCCUGCACAAGGACGGGCCCCUGGGGGAGACAGUCCUGGAGUGCUACAACUGCGGCUGUCGCAACGUCUUCCUCCUCGGCUUCAUCCCGGCCAAAGCUGACUCAGUGGUGGUGCUGCUGUGCAGGCAGCCCUGUGCCAGCCAGAGCAGCCUCAAGGACAUCAACUGGGACAGCUCGCAGUGGCAGCCGCUGAUCCAGGACCGCUGCUUCCUGUCCUGGCUGGUCAAGAUCCCCUCCGAGCAGGAGCAGCUGCGGGCACGCCAGAUCACGGCACAGCAGAUCAACAAGCUGGAGGAGCUGUGGAAGGAAAACCCUUCUGCCACGCUGGAGGACCUGGAGAAGCCGGGGGUGGACGAGGAGCCACAGCAUGUCCUCCUGCGGUACGAGGACGCCUACCAGUACCAGAACAUAUUCGGGCCCCUGGUC
RNAcentral lists this small RNA (750 nucleotides) under Pongo abelii (Sumatran orangutan). RNAcentral describes it as "processed transcript". The record is from RNAcentral. Lineage: Eukaryota; Metazoa; Chordata; Mammalia; Primates; Hominidae.